This is a non-coding RNA of Xyrichtys novacula (pearly razorfish), 71 nucleotides long. NCBI's taxonomy places the organism in Eukaryota, Metazoa, Chordata, Actinopteri, Labriformes, Labridae. The record is from the annotation of a GenBank genome assembly.
GUUCUCGUAGUUGAGAGAUACAACGAUAGUUUUUCAAGCCAUAGGCCCCGGUUGAAGUCCGGGCGAGAAUA